AUGUUGGUGCAGCUGAGUGGACCCCUAAAUUAUGUUAACUAUCAUAUCGCAAGUUUAUUUUUGGAUCUAGAUAUUAAGUCGUGGACAACAUUAUCAUUAUUUAAAAUCUUUCUUGGAUGUAUUCAAAUAAAUAAUUUCGUGUUUGUUCGGAUAAACAAUUCAAAAUUCAAAGACAUGUUUAUUUGUACUGCUGAUGUAACAAAUGUAUGA
Molecule: non-coding RNA, 210 nt
Organism: Vicia faba (fava bean)
Lineage: Eukaryota; Viridiplantae; Streptophyta; Magnoliopsida; Fabales; Fabaceae
Source: the annotation of a GenBank genome assembly